RNAcentral lists this ribosomal RNA (253 nucleotides) under uncultured bacterium. RNAcentral's name for it is "partial 16S ribosomal RNA". It matches the Rfam family "Bacterial small subunit ribosomal RNA", at positions 524 to 776 of the family's 1533-position model. The record is from RNAcentral.
UACGAAGGGGGCUAGCGUUGUUCGGAAUUACUGGGCGUAAAGCGCGCGCAGGCGGAUUUCCAAGUCAGAGGUGAAAGACCAGAGCUCAACUCCGGAACUGCCUUUGAAACUGGAAAACUAGGGUACGGGAGAGGUGAGUGGAAUUCCGAGUGUAGAGGUGAAAUUCGUAGAUAUUCGGAAGAACACCAGUGGCGAAGGCGGCUCACUGGCCCGUUACCGACGCUCAGGCGCGACAGCGUGGGGAGCAAACAGG